GACGAACGCUGGCGGCGUGCUUGACACAUGCAAGUCGAACGGAAAGGCCCUGCUUUUGUGGGGUGCUCGAGUGGCGAACGGGUGAGUAACACGUGAGUAACCUGCCCUUGACUUUGGGAUAACUUCAGGAAACUGGGGCUAAUACCGGAUAGGAGCUCCUGCUGCAUGGUGGGGGUUGGAAAGUUUCGGCGGUUGGGGAUGGACUCGCGGCUUAUCAGCUUGUUGGUGGGGUAGUGGCUUACCAAGGCUUUGACGGGUAGCCGGCCUGAGAGGGUGACCGGCCACAUUGGGACUGAGAUACGGCCCAGACUCCUACGGGAGGCAGCAGUGGGGAAUAUUGCACAAUGGGCGGAAGCCUGAUGCAGCAACGCCGCGUGCGGGAUGACGGCCUUCGGGUUGCAAACCGCUUUCGCCUGUGACGAAGCGUGAGUGACGGUAAUGGGUAAAGAAGCACCGGCUAACUACGUGCCAGCAGCCGCGGUGAUACGUAGGGUGCGAGCGUUGUCCGGAUUUAUUGGGCGUAAAGGGCUCGUAGGUGGUUGAUCGCGUCGGAAGUGUAAUCUUGGGGCUUAACCCUGAGCGUGCUUUCGAUACGGGUUGACUUGAGGAAGGUAGGGGAGAAUGGAAUUCCUGGUGGAGCGGUGGAAUGCGCAGAUAUCAGGAGGAACACCAGUGGCGAAGGCGGUUCUCUGGGCCUUUCCUGACGCUGAGGAGCGAAAGCGUGGGGAGCGAACAGGCUUAGAUACCCUGGUAGUCCGCGCUGUAAACGGUGGGUACUAGGUGUGGGGUCCAUUCCACGGGUUCCGUGCCGUAGCUAACGCUUUAAGUACCCCGCCUGGGGAGUACGGCCGCAAGGCUAAAACUCAAAGGAAUUGACGGGGCCCCGCACAAGCGGCGGAGCAUGCGGAUUAAUUCGAUGCAACGCGUAGAACCUUACCUGGGUUUGACAUGGAUCGGGAGUGCUCAGAGAUGGGUGUGCCUCUUUUGGGGUCGGUUCACAGGUGGUGCAUGGCUGUCGUCAGCUCGUGUCGUGAGAUGUUGGGUUAAGUCCCGCAACGAGCGCAACCCUUGUUCACUGUUGCCAGCACGUUAUGGUGGGGACUCAGUGGAGACCGCCGGGGUCAACUCGGAGGAAGGUGGGGAUGACGUCGAGUCAUCAUGCCCCUUAUGUCCAGGGCUUCACGCAUGCUACAAUGGCUGGUACAGAGAGUGGCGAGCCUGUGAGGGUGAGCGAAUCUCGGAAAGCCGGUCUCAGUUCGGAUUGGGGUCUGCAACUCGACCUCAUGAAGUCGGAGUCGCUAGUAAUCGCAGAUCAGCAACGCUGCGGUGAAUACGUUCCCGGGGCU
RNAcentral lists this ribosomal RNA (1346 nucleotides) under uncultured bacterium. RNAcentral's name for it is "partial 16S ribosomal RNA". It matches the Rfam family "Bacterial small subunit ribosomal RNA", at positions 28 to 1381 of the family's 1533-position model. The record is from RNAcentral.